AACCUUUACACUGCACGACAGUGCGAUAAGGGAAUCCCAAGUGCGUAGGCAUAGAGCCUACGCUUUUGUCCACCGUAGGGAGGUGGACGAAUAAGGGCUGGGCAAGACCGGUGCCAGCCGCCGCGGUAAUACCGGCAGCCCGAAUGAUGGCCGAUCUUAUUGGGCCUAAAGCGUCCGUAGCUGGCCGCGCAAGUCUAUCGGAAAAUCCACCCGCUCAACGGGUGGGCGUCCGGUAGAAACUGCGUGGCUUGGGACCGGAAGGCGCGACGGGUACGUCCGGGGUAGGAGUGAAAUCCCGUAAUCCUGGACGGACCGCCGAUGGCGAAAGCACGUCGCGAAGACGGAUCCGACAGUGAGGGACGAAAGCUAGGGUCUCGAACCGGAUUAGAUACCCGGGUAGUCCUAGCCGUAAACAAUGCCUGCUAGGUGUGGCUCCCACUACGAGUGGGUGCUGUGCCGUAGGGAAGCCGCUAAGCAGGCCGCCUGGGAAGUACGUCCGCAAGGAUGAAACUUAA
This 515-nucleotide ribosomal RNA is filed under the name uncultured archaeon. RNAcentral describes it as "bacterial SSU rRNA". It matches the Rfam family "Archaeal small subunit ribosomal RNA", at positions 345 to 859 of the family's 1478-position model. The record is from RNAcentral.